UAUUUUAUGGGUGCCGAUGACUCCUCUCUGUAUAGCAUGGGUGCGCCUCUAUUUGUGACCUCCUGAUCAUAUGGUGGCGACUUUUUCCCUUGCAUCAAAGCAAUAGCUUCCAAUCUUAAGCUCAAUAAUUUAGUGUAGCACAAUAAGUUUGGCUUUUGAGCCAUUAUAUCUAGCAUCUCCUUAUGAAUUCAACUUAAUGAGUUUCAUUUGUAUUAUGGAUUUGGUCAUUUUGUCAUUCUUCAGUCCUUCUGUCAUUUUAAUCUGACAAAGCUUAUCCAGUAACUUGGAUACUUUGGGAACUAAUGUGUGAGCCAAUAGACAUAAUAUUUGCACUACAACAUUUUCUCCUUUUUAUGGCUUAUCUUUUAUGUAUUGAAUUGUAUUCCUUGAUUGCUGUUACUAUCGUGCUAGUAUAAGCAGAAAAAUCCGACAAACCUGACUCUUAUUGUUAUUAAUUCAGACAAUAAUCUUUUCGGUUCUGUCUUAUGCUGACAUUAGGUUGUUGUAAAAGGAAGCAACUUGAUAACUUUAUACUUCCAUUAAUGAUCAAAAUCUAACUGAAUUUGCACCUUUCUCAGAGCUUAAAUAGGCUGCAGGCCUACAGCAGCAACAGCGAAUAGACUGAGAAGGAGAUGGAGUCAAGGCAUUCCCUUUAUCACGUACUGCUUUUAAUUUUGUGCGGUCUGUCUGCCCUGUGUCAAUGUUCGGCUACUGGGGUUGAAGCGAACCAGACAGCAGUAUUGUUUGUGAAUGCAUCUGAAGCAUCAGCAAGGAAAAUACCUGAUACUCUUUUUGGUAUAUUCUUUGAGGUG
This 812-nucleotide long non-coding RNA is filed under the name Nicotiana tabacum (common tobacco). RNAcentral's name for it is "long non-coding RNA (NTAB_LNC014506)". Lineage: Eukaryota; Viridiplantae; Streptophyta; Magnoliopsida; Solanales; Solanaceae. The record is from RNAcentral.